GACGAACGCUGGCGGCGUGCUUAACACAUGCAAGUCGAACGGAAAGGCCUGCUUUCCCUUGUGGAUUGCGGGUACUCGAGUGGCGAACGGGUGAGUAACACGUGAGUGAUCUGCCCCCAACUUGGGUAUAAGCCUGGGAAACUGGGUCUAAUUCCCGAUAGGACUGCAGGGUGGUGCCUGUGGUGGAAAACGAUUUUCUAGUGGUUGGGGAUGAGCCCGCGGCCUAUCAGCUUGUUGGUGGGGUAAUGGCCUACCAAGGCGGCGACGGGUAGCCGGCCUGGGAGGGUGGACGGCCACAUUGGGACUGAGAUACGGCCCAGACUCCUACGGGAGGCAGCAGUGGGGAAUAUUGCACAAUGGGCGGAAGCCUGAUGCAGCGACGCCGCGUGGGGGAUGACGGCCUUCGGGUUGUAAACUCCUUUCGACCGCGAGGAAGCCACCUGGUUGGAAGGGUGGUGACGGUAGUGGUAGAAGAAGCACCGGCUAACUACGUG
RNAcentral lists this ribosomal RNA (494 nucleotides) under uncultured bacterium. RNAcentral's name for it is "partial 16S ribosomal RNA". It matches the Rfam family "Bacterial small subunit ribosomal RNA", at positions 28 to 507 of the family's 1533-position model. The record is from RNAcentral.